GGGCUCAAUGUUGGGGAGUGGGUCAUUUGGAGAAGUCUAUAAAGUAAUGGCUGAUCCUCAUGGGUUCCUUUUUGCUGCAAAGAAAGUUCCACUUACUGAUGCACAAAAAGUCAGCUCAAUUGAGCGUGAGAUUGAUUUAUUAUGUCACCUACGUCAUGAAAAUAUAGUUGAAUAUUUUGGCACAAAAAGGGACGAAACAGAUCUCUAUGUGUUUCUUGAGUUUGUAAAUGGGGGCUCCAUUGAGAAAGUUUAUCGAGAGUUUCCCCUUAAUGAUUCCCAAGUGUCCUACUACACCAAAGAGAUACUAAAAGGUUUGGAGUAUCUCCAUGAGCAAGAUGUUGUGCAUGGGGACAUUAAAUGUGCAAACUUACUGUUGAAUGAGAAUGGAGUCGUGAAAAUUGCUGAUUUUGGAUUAGCAAAGGUAACUGACUUGAAGACUCUUCGCAAGUCAGGUAGAGGGACUCCAGCCUGGUGCGCUCCUGAGGUCAUUAAUUUGAAGAGACAAGGAUGGAAUGGAUUCCAAGCUGAUAUAUGGAGUCUUGGCUGCACUGUCUUGGAGAUGUUAACUAAAAACCACCCGUACUAUGGUUUAGAACCUUGGACGAUAUGGUAUCAGAUUGGAGAAGGUAUACUGCCUAAAAUUCCUCAGACUCUCUCUGAGGAUUCGCAGAAAUUUAUUCUGAAAUGCCUGCAAGUUAAUCCAGAGAAACGUCCGACUGCCACCGAGCUUUUAAAGCAUAGAUUUGUUAAUAGGUCAUAGCAAGCAGCAGAACAUACCAAACUUCGUGUUAGUUUCAGCUUAAAUUGUGGAAUUUACUCAAUGUUUAACAGCAGUUUUUUCUUUAGUGCUAAAGGUUUGCUUCAGAUUUAUUUUUAGAUUGCUCAUCCUUUAUUAUAGAAUAUUAUUAUUUGUCAUUAUCAUUGAUAAAAUAUCUGUUGUUUUUAGGAUCAUUAACAUUGCUAAAAUUAGAAUAUAUAAUUGUUAACCAGAAUAUUUUGAUGCAAACAGAUAAAUACUUGUUUGGUUAUUUUACAGCUAUGUCAAUUGAAGCAACUAAGUCUGUACAGUCUACAUCAUUUGAUAGCUCCAGUCCAACAGCAUCAUUUGGAAGUUACGAAACAGCCACACCAAUAGAGAGUUUUGAACCUCUUAUAAUGUUUAAAAAACAGCAAUUCACAUGUGUAGAAAUAGACUGUGAGUGAUUCAGCACCAGAUGAGGAAUUGAUAAACAACUCAACAGAGGAGGAUAUNNNNNNNNNNNNNNNNNUCUACUGAGUUGGGAUGAGUUUGGAAGUUUUAGCACUCAUGUAGAAAGCAUGUUGAAUACUUGGCAGGUCAAAAUACUGGGUCGUGAUAUUCAGAAUUGGCAAAGGGGCUCAAUGUUGGGGAGUGGGUCAUUUGGAGAAGUCUAUAAAGGAAUGGAUGAUCCUCAUGGGUUCUUUUUUGCUGCAAAGAAAGUUCCACUUACUGAUGCACAAAAAGUCAGCUCAAUUGAGCGUGAGAUUGAUUUAUUAUGUCACCUACGUCAUGAAAAUAUAGUUGAAUAUUUUGGCACAAAAAGGGACGAAACGGAUCUCUAUGUUUUUCUUGAGUUUGUAAAUGGGGGCUCCAUUGAUAAAGUUUAUCGAGAGUUUCCCCUUAAUGAUUCCCAAGUGUCCUACUACACCAAAGAAAUACUGAAAGGUUUGGAGUAUCUCCAUGGAGAAGGUUUUGUGCAUGGGGACAUUAAAUG
Molecule: long non-coding RNA, 1733 nt
Filed under: Jatropha curcas
Lineage: Eukaryota; Viridiplantae; Streptophyta; Magnoliopsida; Malpighiales; Euphorbiaceae
Description: long non-coding RNA (JCUR_LNC000964)
Source: RNAcentral